Molecule: ribosomal RNA, 254 nt
Filed under: uncultured bacterium
Lineage: Bacteria
Description: partial 16S ribosomal RNA
Rfam family: Bacterial small subunit ribosomal RNA
Source: RNAcentral
UACGGGGGGGGGCAAGCGUUGUUCGGAAUUACUGGGCGUAAAGGGCUCGUAGGCGGCCAACUAAGUCAGACGUGAAAUCCCUCGGCUUAACCAGGGAACUGCGUCUGAUACUGGUUGGCUUGAAUCCGGGAGAGGGAUGUGGAAUUCCAGGUGUAGCGGUGAAAUGCGUAGAUAUCUGGAGGAACACCGGUGGCGAAGGCGGCAUCCUGGACCGGUAUUGACGCUGAGGAGCGAAAGCCAGGGGAGCAAACGGG